CAAGAUUAAAACUCAAAGGAAUUGACGGGGACCCGCACAAGCGGUGGAUGAUGUGGAUUAAUUCGAUGCAACGCGAAAAACCUUACCUACCCUUGACAUGGUCGGAACCCUGCUGAAAGGUGGGGGUGCUCGAAAGAGAACCGAUACACUGGUGCUGCAUGGCUGUCGUCAGCUCGUGUCGUGAGAUGUUGGGUUAAGUCCCGCAACGAGCGCAACCCUUGUCCUUAGUUGCUACGCAAGAGCACUCUAAGGAGACUGCCGGUGACAAACCGGAGGAAGGUGGGGAUGACGUCAAGUCCUCAUGGCCCUUAUGGGUAGGGCUUCACACGUCAUACAAUGGUCGGAACAGAGGGCUGCCAACCCGUGAGGGGGAGCUAAUCCCAGAAAACCGAUCGUAGUCCGGAUCGUAAUCUGCAACUCGACUACGUGAAGCUGGAAUCGCUAGUAAUCGCGGAUCAGCAUGCCGGGUGAAUACGUUCCCGGGUCUUGUACACACCGCCCGUCACACCAUGGGAGUGGGUUUUACCAGAAGUGGCUAGUCUACCCGCAAGGAAGACCGUCACCACAGUAGGAUUAUGACUGGGGUGAAGUCGUAACAAGGUAGCCGUA
This 609-nucleotide ribosomal RNA is filed under the name Burkholderia sp. DF7MM6. RNAcentral's name for it is "bacterial SSU rRNA". It matches the Rfam family "Bacterial small subunit ribosomal RNA", at positions 889 to 1504 of the family's 1533-position model. Lineage: Bacteria; Pseudomonadati; Pseudomonadota; Betaproteobacteria; Burkholderiales; Burkholderiaceae. The record is from RNAcentral.